This 292-nucleotide ribosomal RNA is filed under the name uncultured bacterium. RNAcentral's name for it is "partial 16S ribosomal RNA". It matches the Rfam family "Bacterial small subunit ribosomal RNA", at positions 505 to 796 of the family's 1533-position model. The record is from RNAcentral.
GUGUCAGCAGCCGCGGUAAUACGUAGGGGGCAAGCGUUGUCCGGAAUCAUUGGGCGUAAAGCGCGUGUAGGCGGCCCACUAAGUCCGCUCUGAAAGCCCGGGGCUCAACCCCGGGAGGCGGGUGGAUACUGGUGGGCUCGAGUCCGGAAGAGGUCAGUGGAAUUCCCGGUGUAGCGGUGAAAUGCGCAGAUAUCGGGAGGAACACCAAUGGCGAAGGCAGCUGACUGGGACGUGACUGACGCUGAGACGCGAAAGCGUGGGGAGCAAACAGGAUUAGAAACCCGAGUAGUCC